This 1469-nucleotide long non-coding RNA is filed under the name Marmota monax (woodchuck). Lineage: Eukaryota; Metazoa; Chordata; Mammalia; Rodentia; Sciuridae. The record is from RNAcentral.
UCAUCCUUCCCAGUGCCCAUAUGUUUCUGUGACUCCUGCUUUCCACAUCCCAGUGAAGCAAUGUAAAUGUUUACUGUGCAUGUAAAGAUAUGUAAAAGUAAAGGGAGAGUGGACAUAAGAUUAGUAUGUGGAAGAUCAAUCCUACAGGACCAAAAUUUUCACUAGAAAAUGCUUCUUUCCCCAAGCUUGGGUCAGUCAUGUUCUGACUUCAAGGUCCCUCCCACAUCGCAGUGCUUCCCAGAUGAGCAGCCAGAACACUCUGGACAACUCCUCUUCUCUGCUCUGAGCCCCUGGGGGUGCUUUGAAGUCCACAGUGUGCACAUUUUUCACAUAGUUAUGAAGUUCCUUCUUUGCUUUUGAACUCUUUGCAGGUGCACACCUGUUCUCCCUAACUAAAUUUUUAACUUUUAAAGAGGAUGAUUUAUGCCAAGCAUUUCAUUGUUACAGUGAAGUGGUACAGUUUCAGGGACAUAAUACGUUUUCAAAAAGUACAAAAGGGAUCGAAACUGAUAUUGAAUUAUUUGGGGGUAGAAAAGAGAAUGAACAACAACCACCUUGAAACGACACGGUUUGAUAGGAGAUGGAAUACUGGUUAGAGGAGUGAGAUAGUGUCAGUUCCUAAAGUAGAAAAGAACAUAUCCUAACAUAAAAAGGUGUUGUCCUUCUUUUAAUAACAAACAACUUUGCAUUUUAACUAUACUUGGAGAGAGGAUAAUACUAGCAUUUAAAUUGCCAUCUGGGGAUGAGGGGGGCAUAGAGCUCAGUGGAAGACUGUUUGCCUAUUGUGCUGAAGGCCUUGGAUCCCCAGAACUGCCAACUGUCAACCAGUUAUAAAGUUAUUUCUUGGGACCGCCUUUAGUUUAUAAACAAUACUAGUACAAUAAAAUACUGAACUUGUCAUUUACAGUUAAUUAUGCUCAGUAGUGCUAAACUACCCCUGAAUGGCAAAACCCAGGGAGAAUUUUUCACUUCCUUUUGUUAGAGUUUUAUUACUGUGGCCAUCGCAAUGGCCACUCAAAGGAAGCAUCUUCCUGACUCAGUUCAUGACUCAGAAGAGGUGGGGCAACCCAAGCACUAGGGGGGCCAGGGUGAUAGAGGAAGGUAUCUGUGGGACAGGAAGAGGGGACACAGGAAGUUGUGUUUGUGUUGAGAGUUGAUGAGGGCCACAGGGCCUCCAAUCCCAGGAUUUGAUUUCCCUGGCUGUCCUUGUAUUGUUCUAUAAAUGUCACUAUAUAGUAUAGGUUCCCAACUAGGAUCCCCUUCUUCCUCUCCAGGGCACUAUGAUGGUGAGACCCACAACUUUUCGCUGUCAGUAGGGGGCAACUGGGAAUAGGAGAAGCCAGGCCUCAAAAAUCAGUGGUGGGGGCUGGGGAUGUGGCUCAAGCAGUAGCAUGCUCGCCUGGCAUGCUCGGGGCACUGGGUUCGAUCCUCAGCACCACAUGAAAAUAAAAUACAGAUGUUGUGUCCAC